RNAcentral lists this small RNA (593 nucleotides) under Pan troglodytes (chimpanzee). Its description in RNAcentral is "processed transcript". The record is from RNAcentral. Lineage: Eukaryota; Metazoa; Chordata; Mammalia; Primates; Hominidae.
AUUACCAGGCACGCGCAGGAAACAUGGCGGCGGCGGGUGUUGUGAGCGGGAAGAUUCGCUUGGUGACAGGUGGUGCUACUUCCUCAAAUCUUUGAUCUGUUCUUCCUUUUCUUUUUCUCAAGAUUAUAUAUGAACAAGAAGGAGUAUAUAUUCACUCAUCUUGUGGAAAGACCAAUGACCAAGACGGCUUGAUUUCAGGAAUAUUACGUGUUUUAGAAAAGGAUGCCGAAGUAAUAGUGGACUGGAGACCAUUGGAUGAUGCAUUAGAUUCCUCUAGUAUUCUCUAUGCUAGAAAGGACUCCAGUUCAGUUGUAGAAUGGACUCAGGCCCCAAAAGAAAGAGGUCAUCGAGGAUCAGAACAUCUGAACAGUUACGAAGCAGAAUGGGACAUGGUUAAUACAGUUUCAUUUAAAAGGAAACCACAUACCAAUGGAGAUCUCCACAGGAUAAAAGAACACUUCUUGUGAAUUGUCAGAGUAAGAGUCUUUCACAGUCUUUUGAAAAUCUUCUUGAUGAGCCAGCAUAUGGUUUAAUACAAGCAGGACUGCUAGACAGAAGAAAGCUGUUGUGGGCCAUUCACCACUGGAAAGUAA